Molecule: ribosomal RNA, 478 nt
Filed under: uncultured bacterium
Lineage: Bacteria
Description: partial 16S ribosomal RNA
Rfam family: Bacterial small subunit ribosomal RNA
Source: RNAcentral
GACGAACGCUGGCGGCGUGCUUAACACAUGCAAGUCGAACGGUAAGGCCCUUCGGGGUACACGAGUGGCGAACGGGUGAGUAACACGUGGGUGAUCUGCCCUGCACUUCGGGAUAAGCCUGGGAAACUGGGUCUAAUACCGGAUAGGACCACUGCCUGCAUGGGUGGUGGUGGAAAGCUUUUGCGGUGUGGGAUGGGCCCUCGGCCUAUCAGCUUGUUGGUGGGGUGAUGGCCUACCAAGGCGACGACGGGUAGCCGGCCUGAGAGGGUGACCGGCCACACUGGGACUGAGAUACGGCCCAGACUCCUACGGGAGGCAGCAGUGGGGGAUAUUGCACAAUGGGCGCAAGCCUGAUGCAGCGACGCCGCGUGAGGGAUGACGGCCUUCGGGUUGUAAACCUCUUUCAGCACCGACGAAGCGCAAGUGACGGUAGGUGCAGAAGAAGGACCGGCCAACUACGUGCCAGCCGCCGCGGUAA